CCAAAACAGUUGUUAAGACUUAUGUCUUUUAUUAAAACAAGGCUCAAGCCAAAACUAAUCCUCGGGGAUACCUUGGCCGAGGCAUCUAACCGAGUCCGCCAAGGGUGUCAAAAUAUUCACACGUGAAACACAUUUUUAUUUUUAAAAUCAGCCGUUCCCUGGCAUUGACCGAGUUACACAUUCACGUGGGGGUUCGACGUGAAGUGAACUCUAAUACUACCCCGGGAGUUACCCUUCUCGCCUCUACAACCGGAGUAACUAUAUAACUGGGUUUACCGUGCCUCUCUAAUAGGCAGUCCACGGAAACCAGUCACUGC
RNAcentral lists this long non-coding RNA (317 nucleotides) under Theobroma cacao (cacao). RNAcentral describes it as "long non-coding RNA (TCAC_LNC006480)". The record is from RNAcentral. Lineage: Eukaryota; Viridiplantae; Streptophyta; Magnoliopsida; Malvales; Malvaceae.